This 323-nucleotide ribosomal RNA is filed under the name uncultured eukaryote. Its description in RNAcentral is "partial 18S ribosomal RNA". It matches the Rfam family "Eukaryotic small subunit ribosomal RNA", at positions 1470 to 1796 of the family's 1831-position model. The record is from RNAcentral.
CCCUUAGAUGUCCUGGGCCGCACGCGCGCUACACUGAUGCAUUCAACGAGUUUCACCUUGGCCGAGAGGCCUGGGCAAUCUUUUGAACGUGCAUCGUGAUAGGGAUAGAUUAUUGCAAUUAUUAAUCUUGAACGAGGAAUUCCUAGUAAACGCAGAUCAUCAAUCUGCAUUGAUUACGUCCCUGCCCUUUGUACACACCGCCCGUCGCACCUACCGAUUGGAUGGUCCGGUGAAGCCUCGGGAUUGUGGCGGUUGCCUUUAUUGGUGGCCGCCGCGAGAACUUGUCUAAACCUUAUCAUCUAGAGGAAGGUGAAGUCGUAACA